This is a long non-coding RNA of Pecten maximus, 666 nucleotides long. RefSeq lists it as uncharacterized. The transcript has 4 exons. The record is from RefSeq and is a predicted model, not a curated record. Lineage: Eukaryota; Metazoa; Mollusca; Bivalvia; Pectinida; Pectinidae.
CUGAUCUUUGGCGCAAGCACAUCAGCUGUUCAAGCUUGGAUGGGUCGAUGGUCAUGCAGUUAACUGUCACUCUCAAUCAAUCGUUUGAUGACUCAAAACGGCCCGCUGCAAAAAAUCACUCCGAUUUACCAAAGUGCAGGUCUUUGAAAAAAAAAAUCUCCAGAAUUGAUUGAAUCCAAGACAUCUACUAGAAUGAUGACAUUCAGGGUGGAGAGUAAGCCGGUCAACCGUAAAUAUUAUGACAGAAGUCUGCUGAACUUCCUGUUGAAUGUGAAGAAGCAUCUGCACUCAGUGACCAGCCUCACUUUGAGAUGGAUGAGAUGACAUUGAGACCCCAUCACAGGUUCGUUAGGAGAGGAAAAAUUCAACUACCAGACCAACAUUCAAACCUAGGACCUCUGAAAUCUAGAUGUGGCCACCAGUGUUCAGCUCAGACGAGUUCCACUACAUGUACAUUCCUCCCUCCUUCAACAAUGUCUUCAACUGGAAGGUACCCAAGACUCUUCUACCACCUCUGUGGGUAGUUAGUUGUGCGCCAAGUGUAACAAGAGAGGAAAAAUGCAACGACCAGAUCUGAACUGGAACUUGGGACCUCCUAACUCUAGAUGGAUGCUCUAUCCAUUUGAACUACAUGGCCAUUGUUCUCAUCAUGUUAUCAAAUUUUUA